This 253-nucleotide ribosomal RNA is filed under the name uncultured Rikenellaceae bacterium. Its description in RNAcentral is "partial 16S ribosomal RNA". It matches the Rfam family "Bacterial small subunit ribosomal RNA", at positions 524 to 776 of the family's 1533-position model. The record is from RNAcentral. Lineage: Bacteria; Pseudomonadati; Bacteroidota; Bacteroidia; Bacteroidales; Rikenellaceae.
UACGGAGGAUCCGAGCGUUAUCCGGAUUUAUUGGGUUUAAAGGGUGCGUAGGCGGUUUGAUAAGUUAGAGGUGAAAUGUCGGGGCUCAACCCCGAAACUGCCUCUAAUACUGUUGGACUAGAGAAUAGUUGCGGUAGGCGGAAUGUAUGGUGUAGCGGUGAAAUGCUUAGAGAUCAUACAGAACACCGAUUGCGAAGGCAGCUUACUGGACUGUAAAUGACGCUGAGGCUCGAAAGCGUGGGGAGCAAACAGG